GACGAACGCUGGCGGCGUGCCUAAUACAUGCAAGUCGAGCGAAGUUUUUCCGGUGCUUGCACUAGAAAAACUUAGCGGCGAACGGGUGAGUAACACGUAAAGAACCUGCCUCAUAGACUGGGACAACUAUUGGAAACGAUAGCUAAUACCGGAUAACAGUAUUUCUCGCAUGAGAGAUAUUUAAAAGUUGGUUAUGCUAACACUAUGAGAUGGCUUUGCGGUGCAUUAGCUAGUUGGUGGGGUAAAGGCCCACCAAGGCGACGAUGCAUAGCCGACCUGAGAGGGUGAUCGGCCACACUGGGACUGAGACACGGCCCAGACUCCUACGGGAGGCAGCAGUAGGGAAUCUUCCGCAAUGGGCGAAAGCCUGACGGAGCAACGCCGCGUGAGUGAAGAAGGAUUUCGGUUCGUAAAGCUCUGUUGUUAGGGAAGAAUGGAUAUGUAGUAACUAUACAUAUAAGAGACGGUACCUAACCAGAAAGCCACGGCUAACUACGUGCCAGCAGCCGCGGUAAUACGUAGGUGGCAAGCGUUGUCCGGAAUUAUUGGGCGUAAAGCGCGCGCAGGUGGUUUAAUAAGUCUGAUGUGAAAGCCCACGGCUCAACCGUGGAGGGUCAUUGGAAACUGUUAAACUUGAGUGCAGGAGAGAAAAGUGGAAUUCCUAGUGUAGCGGUGAAAUGCGUAGAGAUUAGGAGGAACACCAGUGGCGAAGGCGGCUUUUUGGCCUGUAACUGACACUGAGGCGCGAAAGCGUGGGGAGCAAACAGG
RNAcentral lists this ribosomal RNA (768 nucleotides) under uncultured bacterium. Its description in RNAcentral is "bacterial SSU rRNA". It matches the Rfam family "Bacterial small subunit ribosomal RNA", at positions 28 to 776 of the family's 1533-position model. The record is from RNAcentral.